RNAcentral lists this RNase P RNA (337 nucleotides) under Synergistaceae bacterium. Its description in RNAcentral is "RNase P RNA component class A". It matches the Rfam family "Bacterial RNase P class A". From Rfam's summary of the family: Ribonuclease P (RNase P) is a ubiquitous endoribonuclease, found in archaea, bacteria and eukarya as well as chloroplasts and mitochondria. Its best characterised activity is the generation of mature 5'-ends of tRNAs by cleaving the 5'-leader elements of precursor-tRNAs. Lineage: Bacteria; Thermotogati; Synergistota; Synergistia; Synergistales; Synergistaceae. The record is from RNAcentral.
CGAGCAGAGCAGACAACCGCCGCGGGCCGAAGGGCAUCGUGGAGGAAAGUCCGGGCUCCACAGGGCGGGAUGCCGGGUAACACCCGGUCGGCGUGAGCCGAAGGAAAGUGCCACAGAAAGCAGACAGCCCUCAGGGGUAAUGGUGAAAAGGCAGGGUAAGAGCCUACCGGAUACGGCGUAAGUCGUAUGCCAGGCAAACCCCAUCCGGAGCAAGAUCGAAUAGGAGGGGAUGAAGCGGCCCGCUGACCCUCGGGUCGAUCGCUUGAGGAACGUCGCAAGGCGUUUCCCAGAGAAAUGGUUGUCAUAUACAGAACCCGGCUUAUGAGCUGCUCGUUUU